Molecule: ribosomal RNA, 253 nt
Filed under: uncultured bacterium
Lineage: Bacteria
Description: partial 16S ribosomal RNA
Rfam family: Bacterial small subunit ribosomal RNA
Source: RNAcentral
UACGGAGGGGACUAGCGUUGCUCGGAAUCACUGGGCGUAAAGCGCACGUAGGCGGAUUGUUAAGUCAGGGGUGAAAUCCUGGAGCUCAACUCCAGAACUGCCUUUGAUACUGGCAACCUUGAGUCCGGGAGAGGUGAGUGGAACUGCGAGUGUAGAGGUGAAAUUCGUAGAUAUUCGCAAGAACACCAGUGGCGAAGGCGACUCACUGGCCCGAUACUGACGCUGAGGCGCGAAAGCGUGGGGAGCAAACAGG